This 71-nucleotide transfer RNA is filed under the name Salmo salar (Atlantic salmon). It matches the Rfam family "tRNA". From Rfam's summary of the family: Transfer RNA (tRNA) molecules are approximately 80 nucleotides in length. Their secondary structure includes four short double-helical elements and three loops (D, anti-codon, and T loops). Lineage: Eukaryota; Metazoa; Chordata; Actinopteri; Salmoniformes; Salmonidae. RNAcentral also lists the same sequence under 1 other name. The record is from Rfam by way of RNAcentral.
CGGCAUGUAGCCUAGUGGUUAAAGCGUUGGGCCAGUAACCAAAAGAUUGCUGGAUCGAAUCCCCGAGCCGA